CAGCAGCCACGGUAAUACGAAGGGGGCUAGCGUUGCUCGGAAUCACUGGGCGUAAAGGGUGCGUAGGCGGGUCUUUAAGUCAGGGGUGAAAUCCCAGAGCUCAACUCUGGAACUGCCUUUGAUACUGGGUAUCUUGAGUAUGGAAGAGGUGAGUGGAAUUCCGAGUGUAGAGGUGAAAUUCGUAGAUAUUCGGAGGAACACCAGUGGCGAAGGCGGCUCACUGGUCCAUUACUGACGCUGAGGUGCGAAAGCGUGGGGAGCAAACAGGAUUAGAUACCCCUGUAGUCCCUGUCUCUUAUAC
This 301-nucleotide ribosomal RNA is filed under the name uncultured bacterium. RNAcentral's name for it is "partial 16S ribosomal RNA". It matches the Rfam family "Bacterial small subunit ribosomal RNA", at positions 509 to 807 of the family's 1533-position model. The record is from RNAcentral.